Molecule: ribosomal RNA, 253 nt
Filed under: uncultured bacterium
Lineage: Bacteria
Description: partial 16S ribosomal RNA
Rfam family: Bacterial small subunit ribosomal RNA
Source: RNAcentral
UACGUAGGCAGCGAGCGUUGUUCGGAAUUACUGGGCGUAAAGAGUGUGUAGGCGGUGUUCCCAGUCUGUUGUGAAAUCUCCCGGUUUAACUGGGAGGGUGCAGCGGAAACUAGAAUGCUAGAGGGUGGGAGAGGUAAGCGGAAUUCCUGGUGUAGCGGUGAAAUGCGUAGAUAUCAGGAGGAACACCUGUGGUGUAGACAGCUUACUGGACCACUUCUGACGCUGAGACACGAAAGCGUGGGUAGCAAACAGG